AGGUACCUCAGAUGAGUGGAAUUAUGCAGUAUUUGUCCUUUCAUGUGUACAACUAAUUUGACAGGCAGUAUGAUAAGGAACAAUCUGAAUGACACGUAAACAGGAGGGGGUAAAUUCCAAGCACAGCCUGAAUGAGAAGUAUAACUCAUUUCCCGUAACCUAGAUGCCUUUUUAACACAUCUAUGCAGUCUCCAUGUGAAACCAGGUGCUGUUCCCAAAGGAGAAAACACUGCCCUCCAGUGGUCUUCAAUGAAGAAAUGGAAAUAGUUUCAGGUACCAUGAUAGCAGCAUUUACAUGAAACAUGGUGUAUUUAUCUAGUCUCAGUUUUGGCUGUAUUUCUUAAGCUGAAACAUGUCUACAACUGAGCAUAAGGACAAAAUUUCCAAGAUAAAUUCUAAUAGGUGGAAACCAGGCUUCUUGGAAGAAUUCAAACUAUGCCAAAUGGUCUGAUUUCACCAUAGAGAAUGUUAUACUAUUAAUUGCCAAUUUGCAUAUGUGUGCAGCUGCUGUUUUGGCUCUGAACUCAAUCCGAUAAGCUUGCUGGAGGUAUCGCAGAGCACUUGGCAGCUUUCCUAUUUGAAAAGAAAGCCUCUCCCCUCUACAGAACAGCUGAUCGUCUAUCAGCGAUAGACC
RNAcentral lists this non-coding RNA (634 nucleotides) under Pongo abelii (Sumatran orangutan). The record is from RNAcentral. Lineage: Eukaryota; Metazoa; Chordata; Mammalia; Primates; Hominidae.